RNAcentral lists this long non-coding RNA (202 nucleotides) under Vigna radiata. Its description in RNAcentral is "long non-coding RNA (VRAD_LNC001464)". The record is from RNAcentral. Lineage: Eukaryota; Viridiplantae; Streptophyta; Magnoliopsida; Fabales; Fabaceae.
GGUGGGUUCUGAAUUAGAGAUGCCUUUGUCAACAUAUAAAAAGAUAAAUUAAAUUUAAGCUGUGGUUAAGUAAAAGAGAGAUUAAUAGUUUUUUAGACAAGUGGAGGACAUAAUCAUCAUGCUUCCUUUCACAUGUAAAUUCAUAAACCUUUUCAUUUACAAACUUUCCUCUUCAAAUUGUGGGUUUUAGUUAGAAAGAAAC